GAUGAAGAACGUAGCGAAAUGCGAUAAGUAAUGUGAAUUGCAGAAUUCAGUGAAUCAUCGAAUCUUUGAACGCACAUUGCGCCCGCUAGUACUCUAGCGGGCAUGCCUGUUCGAGCGUCAUUUCAACCCUCAAGCCCUGCUUGGUGCUGGGGCCCUACGGCUGCCGUAGGCCCUGAAAGGAAGUGGCGGGCUCGCUACAACUCCGAGCGUAGUAAUUCAUUAUCUCGCUUAGGGUGUUGUGCGGUGCUCCAGCCGUUAAAGACCAUCUUUAACUCAAGGUUGACCUCGGAUCAGGUAGGAAUACCCGCUGAACUUAAGCAUAUCAAUAAGCGGAGGA
This 337-nucleotide unclassified non-coding RNA is filed under the name soil metagenome. RNAcentral's name for it is "partial contains 5.8S ribosomal RNA, internal transcribed spacer 2, and large subunit ribosomal RNA". The stretch from base 1 to 120 matches the Rfam family "5.8S ribosomal RNA", at positions 35 to 154 of the family's 154-position model. The record is from RNAcentral.